This 379-nucleotide RNase P RNA is filed under the name Bacteroidales bacterium. RNAcentral's name for it is "RNase P RNA component class A". It matches the Rfam family "Bacterial RNase P class A". Rfam says of the family: Ribonuclease P (RNase P) is a ubiquitous endoribonuclease, found in archaea, bacteria and eukarya as well as chloroplasts and mitochondria. Its best characterised activity is the generation of mature 5'-ends of tRNAs by cleaving the 5'-leader elements of precursor-tRNAs. Cellular RNase Ps are ribonucleoproteins. Lineage: Bacteria; Pseudomonadati; Bacteroidota; Bacteroidia; Bacteroidales. The record is from RNAcentral.
AACGGCAACUGUUCUAUCGUCGGUUGUGAGAGCAAUCGGAGGAAAGUCCGGGCAACACAGAGCCGCCAUACUUCCUAACGGGAAGGUGCUUCUUGAAUAAAGAGGUAACAGAAAGUGCCACAGAAAAUAACCGCUGUUUUUUGAUGAACAGUAAGGGUGAAAAUGUGAGGUAAGAGCUCACACCAAGUAGUAGUGAUACGCCUUGGGGGUAAACCUUAUGGGUUGAAAGACCAAAUAUACCGGCAGUUAAGGACCGGCUCGUCCGUUGUCGGGGGGUAGGUUGAUUGAGACUUUUGGUGACAAAAGCCCUAGAUAAAUGAUAGAACUUUUUCUUUCUACAAGAAAAAGACAGAACCCGGCUUAUAGGUUGUCGUUUUUU